This 382-nucleotide long non-coding RNA is filed under the name Lathyrus oleraceus (garden pea). Its description in RNAcentral is "Pisum sativum (pea) long non-coding RNA (PSAT_LNC013123)". Lineage: Eukaryota; Viridiplantae; Streptophyta; Magnoliopsida; Fabales; Fabaceae. The record is from RNAcentral.
UGCAUCAAAUUAACCUUCUUACUCAAUUAAUUUCAUAUUUUGACAACACUCUUCAAACCUUCAAAGACAUUAACAAUGGCAUAAGCAUGAAAACAUUCAUAACAAAAUAUUUAACACAUUGAUACACGAAUUUGAACAUCAAAAUCAUCAUAUAACAUCAACACAACACAAUUAUACAAAUUUCAUAUACAACACAUACAAUCCAAUCGGAGGCUAAGAAUUCCUCAACUCUACCCCCUCAUGCUUAAUACCCAUUAAAAAAGAAAUCUCCCAUUUACCUUGUUUUUCUAAUAGCAAUGGAAUCUCCCACUUAGAUUCUUCUUCUAGUACCUCUAGCCUUUUUUAUCUCACUCUUGCCUCCUGGCCUCUUUUCCAAAAUUCC